RNAcentral lists this antisense RNA (197 nucleotides) under Sodalis glossinidius str. 'morsitans'. RNAcentral describes it as "Yersinia sRNA 251". It matches the Rfam family "Yersinia sRNA 251". Rfam says of the family: Antisense to phoH gene. Trimmed on 5'end from the original size. The record is from Rfam by way of RNAcentral. Lineage: Bacteria; Pseudomonadati; Pseudomonadota; Gammaproteobacteria; Enterobacterales; Bruguierivoracaceae.
CGUAAGCGCUCAGCAUGCGCUGACAUAGCGCCGAGCGCACACAGUCCUGCUGGCUGAAACGAAUGAUUGCGAUCAUAUCGUCAUCUUCCUGGAACCGUUCCAGCGCAUCCGCCAACCCCGAUUUGACUCCGCGCAGCAAAUCACAUUGCGUCACGUCGCCGUUAACGAUGACCGUGACAUUCUCACCCAACCGCGUC